This 407-nucleotide ribosomal RNA is filed under the name uncultured bacterium. RNAcentral describes it as "partial 16S ribosomal RNA". It matches the Rfam family "Bacterial small subunit ribosomal RNA", at positions 29 to 526 of the family's 1533-position model. The record is from RNAcentral.
AUUGAACGCUGGCGGCAGGCCUAACACAUGCAAGUCGAGCGGAGCGGCGGACGGGUGAGUAAUGCCUAGGAAUCUGCCAGGGAGUGGGGGAUAACGACCGAAAAAGGGCGCUAAUACCGCAUACUAUCAGAUGAGCCUAGGUCGGAUUAGGUAGUUGGUGGGGGAACGGCGUACCAGGGCGACGAGCCCUAGCUGGUCUGAGAGGAUGAGCAGCCACACGGGAACUGAGACACGGUCCAGACUCCUACGGUAGGCAGCAGUGGGGAAUAUUGCACAAUGGGCGCAAGCCUGAUGCAGCCAUGCCGCGUGUAUGAAGAAGGCCUUCGGGUUGUAAAGUACUUUCAGCGGGGAGGCGUUACCCGCAGAAGAAGCACCGGCUAACUCCGUGCCAGCCGCCGCGGUAAUUC